RNAcentral lists this ribosomal RNA (634 nucleotides) under uncultured bacterium. RNAcentral's name for it is "bacterial SSU rRNA". It matches the Rfam family "Bacterial small subunit ribosomal RNA", at positions 62 to 665 of the family's 1533-position model. The record is from RNAcentral.
UCGAACGGGAAUCCGGUGCUGUAGCAAUACAAUGCCGGUGAGAGUGGCGCAAGGGUGAGUAACGCGUGGGUAACCUGCCCCCAGGUUGGGGAUAACCCCGCGAAAGCGGGGCUAAUACCGAAUGUGGUGGUGCCGCGCAUGCGGCAUUGACUAAAGGUGGGGACCCUUCGGGGCCUGCCGCCAAGGGAGGGGCCCGCGUACCAUCAGCUUGUUGGUGAGGUAACGGCUCACCAAGGCUUACGGUUAGCUGGUCUGAGAGGAUGGUCAGCCACACUGGGACUGAGACACUGCCCAGACUCCUACGGGAGGCUGCAGUCGAGGAUCUUCUGCAAUGGGCGCAAGCCUGACAGAGCGACGCUGCGUGGAGGAUGAAGGCCUUCGGGUUGUAAACUCCUGUCUUUCGGGAACAAUUGAUCCGGCGUGAAUAGCGUCGGAUCUUGAUGGUACCGGAGGAGGAAGCCACGGCUAACUCUGUGCCAGCAGCCGCGGUAAUACAGAGGUGGCGAGCGUUGUUCGGAUUUACUGGGCGUAAAGGGCGCGUAGGCGGCUCCGUGUGUCGGACGUGAAAUCCCACGGCUCAACCGUGGAACUGCAUUCGAAACUGCGGGGCUCGAGUACAGGAGAGGAGAGCGGA